GACAUUUACCAGACAGGAAGGGCCUAAUGACUGAGACUGUUGAGUUGCAUUAUGGGAAAUGUAGGAUCCAGGGUGUUGGGAAUGUGACUCAUUGGGGCCUGAAGCGUAUCUGGGCCUGACCUGCACAGAUCGUAACCUUUCAUACCUCCGACUCUUGUAAGUCUUCCACUUUAUCUCAAAAACGUCAAAUUUCAAAAUUCAAACAUAGUAUUUAUCCAUUUUUAGACAGAGGACCAAACUAUGAGUAAACCUGAAAUAUCAUAUCCUGUACUAUUUCUUCAUUUGCAAUGAAUUAUGAAUUGACCCUGGUUUCAGGGUCCAGAAGGAACUUUCACAAGGCAACACUGGGAUUCUUGUUCAAUUUUCAAAACAGAAAUCUCAAAACCUGGACAAAAGAAACUAAAAGUACCUGAGGGGGAACCCUGUAUGCACACCUCAUCACACAUCUCACUCUCUCUCACCGAUUCAGCCCUCCCUCUCGUUAGCUUGUCGCCUAGUCUGCUCCUCAUCCCAUAAUCUCAUCUCCAGCUAAUUACCAAAACCACAGUGUAGCCCCGGGAAAUACUGCUGAACUAACAGCGGCAUAACAGCUCUAUAAUGGGGGAAUGAAGAGCGGAGAGCACUCGUCUUCACGGCGUCGCACAAGUUGAUGUAUCCUUGGGCCAGACAUUUAAUGAAUGGGCCAAGGGUGAAUGAUGGCACUCUUUACUAGUCGUGUUUAGUAUACGGUGCAAUAAGUCACCGUUCACUUUAAGCUAAGUCUCAGUCAGUAAAGUGAAAACAUUUAGAAUGAUCUGAUAUACAGCCAUGCAAUCAUAUGCAACAAACAGUGAAUUCGUAUUGAAACAACUAGUCACUUGUGAAGGUUUGUGCUCGGUCUGCGUGCGCAGUAAGCCGAUCUGUCUGUACGGGGAAAGAACCACGCUCAGGGAGGUGAAAGGCAAGUGAAACAAGAAGGGUCCUGUCUUAUGAAUCUGUAACUCAAGCUGAUAGGGCUGUGUGGGAAAUGAGCUUUGGCCGAGGGCUCGCGGAUUAGCCCCUAUCUGCCCCCCCCGGGCAGAGUCCGCCGGACGCAGACGGAGAGCCCUCUGCUCCACCGAGAGGUUGCCGUCGAUUGCUUACGGAGGUGUUCCAUUUAAAAAACGCCAAAACAAUUUCCCAUUGACCUGCUGAAAGUCCCCGUUUGGGAAGCCACCGCACCCACAAUGCAGUUCCUGACAUGCGACACCGGUGAACCCCCGGUGACCCCCGGUGAGGGUGAUGUUCAGGUAGGACCUGCUCCGGGCCUCACGGGCUGAGAACCGCAAGCAAGCAGGGACCAAAUACACUUGUGUCAUCAACACCGGAGACCAUCCCAGUGCGUGUUGCAUAUUUCCUGGAGUCAUUACAAUCACGGCUGCUUAACAAUCCCGGCCCACCCCCGCGCCCCCCCC
Molecule: long non-coding RNA, 1433 nt
Organism: Gasterosteus aculeatus aculeatus (three-spined stickleback)
Lineage: Eukaryota; Metazoa; Chordata; Actinopteri; Perciformes; Gasterosteidae
Source: Ensembl